RNAcentral lists this microRNA precursor (122 nucleotides) under Pelobates cultripes (western spadefoot toad). The record is from RNAcentral. Lineage: Eukaryota; Metazoa; Chordata; Amphibia; Anura; Pelobatidae.
AUUGCUUCUGUGAACAGGUGUCUUUUAUACAGGUAACAAGCUGAAAUUAGGAGCACUCCCUUUAAGAGAGUGCUCGUAAUCUCAGCUUGUUACCUGUAUAAAAGACACCUGGGAGCCAGACA